This 427-nucleotide ribosomal RNA is filed under the name uncultured bacterium. RNAcentral describes it as "bacterial SSU rRNA". It matches the Rfam family "Bacterial small subunit ribosomal RNA", at positions 355 to 774 of the family's 1533-position model. The record is from RNAcentral.
UGGGGAAUUUUGGACAAUGGGCGCAAGCCUGAUCCAGCCAUGCCGCGUGCAGGAUGAAGGCCUUCGGGUUGUAAACUGCUUUUGUACGGAACGAAAAGGUGCCUUCUAAUAAAGGCCGCUCAUGACGGUACCGUAAGAAUAAGCACCGGCUAACUACGUGCCAGCAGCCGCGGUAAUACGUAGGGUGCGAGCGUUAAUCGGAAUUACUGGGCGUAAAGCGUGCGCAGGCGGUUUUGUAAGACAGAGGUGAAAUCCCCGGGCUCAACCUGGGAACUGGCUUUGUGACUGCAAGGCUGGAGUGCGGCAGAGGGGGAUGGAAUUCCGCGUGUAGCAGUGAAAUGCGUAGAGAUGUGGAGGAACACCGAUGGCGAAGGCAGCCCCCUGGGCCUGUACUGACGCUCAUGCACGAAAGCGUGGGGAGCAAACA